UGGGUAGUCCGCACGAGCGCACCCUGUCCUUAGUUGCCAGCACGUUAUGGUGGGGACUCUAAGGAGACUGCCUGGGAUAACCAGGAGGAAGGUGGGGAUGACGUCAAGUCCGUAUGUCCCUUAUGCCCAGGGCUACACACGUGUUACAAUGGCCGGUACAAAGGGUCGCGAACCCGCGAGGGGAAGCCAAUCCCAUAAAACCGGCCCCAGUUCGGAUUGGAGUCUGCAACUCGACUCCAUGAAGCAGGAAUCGCUAGUAAUCGCGUAUCAGCACGACGCGGUGAAUACGUUCCCGGGCCUUGUACACACCGCCCGUCACAUCACGAAAGCUGGCUGUACUAGAAGUCACUGUGCCAACCCGUUCGCGGGAGGUAAGUGCCUAAGGUAUGGUUGGUGAUUGGGGUGAAGUCGUAACAAGGUAGCUGUAGGAGAACCUGUGGCUGGAUCACCUCCUUUCU
RNAcentral lists this ribosomal RNA (458 nucleotides) under uncultured marine bacterium 106. Its description in RNAcentral is "bacterial SSU rRNA". It matches the Rfam family "Bacterial small subunit ribosomal RNA", at positions 1077 to 1533 of the family's 1533-position model. The record is from RNAcentral.